This 24-nucleotide non-coding RNA is filed under the name Arabidopsis thaliana (thale cress). The record is from RNAcentral. Lineage: Eukaryota; Viridiplantae; Streptophyta; Magnoliopsida; Brassicales; Brassicaceae.
CUCAUUUGUGGUUUUGGAGUGCAU